UACGGAGGAUCCAAGCGUUAUCCGGAAUUACUGGGCGUAAAGAGUUGCGUAGGUGGUUAUGAAAGCAAAUAGUGAAAGCGUGGGGCUCAACCUCAUAUACAUUAUUUGAACUUCAUUGACUAGAGGAUGAGAGAGGUCGCUGGAAUUGCUAGUGUAGGAGUGAAAUCCGUAGAUAUUAGCAGGAACACCGAUGGCGUAGGCAGGCGACUGGCUCAUUCCUGACACUAAGGCACGAAAGCGUGGGGAGCAAACGGG
Molecule: ribosomal RNA, 255 nt
Filed under: uncultured bacterium
Lineage: Bacteria
Description: partial 16S ribosomal RNA
Rfam family: Bacterial small subunit ribosomal RNA
Source: RNAcentral